Molecule: non-coding RNA, 5255 nt
Organism: Oryctolagus cuniculus (rabbit)
Lineage: Eukaryota; Metazoa; Chordata; Mammalia; Lagomorpha; Leporidae
Source: RefSeq, a predicted model, not a curated record
GUUAUUUUUAUAUUGUCCCAUCUUUAUAGAAUCCAGCCAGUCACCGACUGUAACAAAUAAAGGAUAUUCGGAAACUUCACCAGGGGACUCUGGCAUUCUAGAAGGAAAAGAAUCACAAGGACUUUAAAGCCAAAUAAAGUACAAUGAUAAAUUCAAUCUGCGAUUUGCUGAGUAUGUGGAAAUUUCUGCCAUUUCGUGAUUAGUGGGCUCUGUCCACCUGAGAAAUGAUUUAACAGCAGAACCAGCAGCUCAUACUGAAAAAAAAUACAUAUCAAAGGCAGAAGGUCAAGAGUCUAAAUUCUUCCUCAGAAAAAUAAGGAGGAGCUAGAAUUGGGAAAUUUCAGAAAUGCCUUCUAAUAAAGACCUGCUUGCUUAACUUUGAUGGGAGCCCUACAAUACUACCGCCUAAAGGGAGACACGGCUAUUAAACUUAACAGACCUAUUCUCAAGACUAAGAAACUGCUAUGGCACAAUAUAUUUAAAUUGGUUCUUUUCCCAACAUGUUUUCCUCCCUGUUCCAAUCUGUUAUCUCAAAACUUCUAACCCACAUCUCUUCAUAGUCACGCAUCUGACUUUAAUAUGUGAAAGAUUUCUGAAAAGUGUUUCCCUGGGGGAAGUGUUGGAGAGUAAAAUAUCCCACCCCAAAUAUUUGAAAAAAGAAAGAAAUCAAGCCUGUUCUCUACAAUUUGGUAUUUAGAGAUAAACCAUUAAGCAAGAGCUAAUUAUGUAUUGCCUAGGCAGCACUGAGCAAGCCUUCUUCAAAAUUCUAUUUCAAAUUGUUGAAAGUUAUUGUGGCUAUAAAACAGUCUGAUUGGUGCAUUAUUAACUGAAUGGAGGAAGGCAGUACCAUUCAGUCUUGGCAUAUUACAAGUCUCUGAAACACAGGCUUUAAUUAAGGUUUUGUAUGGACUUUUCCCUACCUUCACGAUUUACACAUUACUGGAAGCCAAGUGCUUGAAAUUUCAACAGUAGGCAGUGGUGGUUACACUUCCUAAGAGCUAACAUUCUGUAAGAUCUCUAACUAUGGCCCAGUGGGUGGUGAGAAUGCUCAUAAGGUGCCAUGGGCUGGGCAGAACAUGGUGGCUGAAGCAGCUGACUACCACAGAUGGUACUGUCCACUCUCCUCCUUGGAUGCCAUCUUGAGCGGAUUGUUGAGAAGUCCUUAAUCUGUAAAACUCUUUCUCAGGGACAUGCUGGGGGACCUGAAGUGGGAACUAGAAGAAAGUUAUUCUCCCAGUACAUUGCAGCUCUGUUGAAAAGGGCAUUGGCCAACUGUCUGCAGCCUAGUGGGUUCAGUAGGCUUCAGUGAGGGGAGGGAUUGGGGUGCAGGUGAAGAAGAUGAAGAAUGAAUAUGUAGGAUAAAGUGGAUGAAGGUGCGGAAGGAAGGGCUGGGUGACUGUACACUAUGUGGUCACUUUGCAAUAUCAGGCUACAGUAUUUAACCCUGGAUUUUAUGGUAGUUUAAUAGGAGGAACUACAAGAUUGAUCCUGAGGGUUGGGUGAGAGGGACCAAAAUGUGUUUCAAAGGGCCAAACACUGCUCCAGGUGCUGGUUGACAUACAAACUCAUCUGAGCCCUUUCUCCCAGGGUUGUACAUCACAUGAAUUAUAUGUAAUUCUUUGAAAAGUGGUUAUACAGUAUAAUUCAUUAUAAAAGGACUGGAUAUAUAAGGGUAGCUUGAAAUUCACAUGUAUGAAAGGAUGACUGCUUUAUAUUAGUAUGGUAGUUUUGUAAUUGUUUUUUACAAUUAAUUGGGAUUAAGGUUAUACUUAUAAUGUCAUCACAUUCACUUACACAUCUACAGAUUGUAGGAGAGAAAGCUGGCAAGUAGGGAAGCACACAGUGCUGAGUACUCCCACGGGAGUGCACCAGGUACGAUAAUGUCAGCAGCAGAAAAAGGUGAGAACUGCUACUGGAAACCACCAGAAGGCUUCUCGGGCCAACAGUCUUUCUAUUAGGUGCUCUGAUUUUUGCAAAGAAAGAUUACAGACAUCAAGCUUAUGAAAUUUCUAAUAUGCUAGUAAGAGAUAACUAAACCAGGGUUUCAUAGCCUUUUUCAUCCCCCUUUGUCACCUUAAUUUCCUCUCCUUUUAGUACUGUGUCAUGAGAAAGAAUAAAAGCUUCUCAAGUGAAUGCUUAAGAAAAAAAAAAAGCAAUUAGAGUGGAAUAAAAACCGUGGGGAUCUAGCAGAUGAGAGGGCUAUGUCAGCAGAGAGGUGUGAGAGAAACCUGGGAGCUUUGGGACCCCAGAGGAAAGAAGAGUGCAGGAGGGUUUUCUAAUAAGAAAGGCUGGGGAUUAUACAUGUAGAUUUCUGUACAUGUUUCAGAGACACAGGGGAGGAAAGAUUGAAACUGUUGCCUAAUACAACCUCACUCUGGGGCACACAACUGGGCUUCGGGACUUCCUUGAUGGAGGGACAGCUGUCACAGUUUUACAAACAAAGCACACCAGGUGUUCCUCAGUGAUCCUUUUAUCUACUGCAUUGCCUCUCCCUCAACAGUCUCCAGUCUCUGGGACCAGGUGCGGGGUGAGUGGGUGGUACUGGGGAUAAAAGGGGGGGGGCUUCUUUGGAAAUAAACACACAGCAAAGGAUCAGGCAUGGAUUACCCUGAGGACUUCACUUUUUUUCUCCCCUUCUCAAACAAAAGUACAUUAUGAACAACAGCAGUAGCACAUACAUCCUUGUCAGAAGCAAGGAUAGCAAAUCAGUCACAGAAACUUCCAUUUGGUCUCCCAGAGAUUAGACUUUAGAAUCGAAUCAAGCUGCCGGCUUUAUAUAAAGCACCCAGCUCCUGGUCUGUGUGUGGCAGUGCAGUCACAGAGAUGGCCACUCCCUGGCCAGCUGGUGGAUUACCGCCCACCCCACUAAGUCACACCAUUCUGGCCUGUGCACAGGACCCUCCAUGCUCACUUGACCUCUGCAUCCUUUUUAAUUUUUGGCUUUUCUUCACCUUAGAUUCUACAAGGAUACUUUAAAAUAUAAUGAUUAUUCAUAAUCUUGAAAAAGCAGAGAAGAAAAUUAUCUGUUUUUCAAAAAGAAGACUCACCUGCCUGCUUCUACAGCCAAAGGGCAGUUAGACAGCCUUGUUGACAGCACUGGCAGUGAAGUGUCAGCCCCUUGCAUCAUGACAGGCCCAGAUUAAAUUCUCUCAGUUUACCCAUGUCAAAGUCCUUUUCCAUUAAUGAAGACCUCGCUUCAUGGUCUCCUUCUUCUAGCUACUGUCACCUCAAUUUUAAAGCAUGCCUAUAACUCUUUAACAAAACACAUAAAAACAAAAACCAAGAAAAAUUUCCUCUAUCUCCUUUUUUUCCGUCAGAGACAGGUUUCUGGAAAACAAAAUUAGUGGUACACGUUGCUCUCCGCUCUGACGGUAUAUACGCUCUUCCUCUGCUGUCUUGUGCAACUUCAUUGAAAACUCUCCUCAAGAGCUGCCCAUGAGCAGCUGACACCUCAUUGCUCAACCCAACAGGGAGACUUCACUUUCUAUUUUACUGAAGCUUUGUGAAGCCUUGGACAUUAGGCUCCUUGAAACUCCCUUUUCUUUUAGCUUUUAGGAAAUGGUUCCUUCUCAGUUUCCUUCAUUACCGCUCAGGCUCUUUCCCAGUCUCCUUUGUGUCCCCUUUUUCAGUUUGUGUCUUAAAUUUUGGGGUUAGCGAAUGUUAUAUUGCUUUCCUUUGUUAAUUUACAUACCUUCUAUUCCCUGUAGGUUAUCUUAACUACAUCUAAAGCUUCAGCAAAAACCUACAUGCUGCUGAUCUUCCAAUCUGUACUCCACUCCAUGUUUCUCACCUGAGGUUCAACUUACUUACGGAACAUCCCCACCUAUAUGUCCCACAAACUUCUCUGACCCAGUAUGCUCAAAAUGGUUUCCUUUCUAUUCUAAAAUCUUGUCCCUCUCAGUGGCAAUAUCACUGGCCAACUUGUCAAAAAAAAAAAAAAAAAAAAGAAGAAAAAGAAGAGGUUUGAUAAAUAGCCUUCAUUCAUUUUCCCUCCUUCCUUCAAUAUUCAUAUAGUGAGCAAGACCCUGUGCCCUGUGGUUUCCUUUGCCUAAUAACACAGUAUUUUAUAUCCUGAUCGAAAGCUUAUUCCCAUUCCAUGGUUUGGAUUGAUGGAAACAUAUAACUUUGUCUCCAGACUUGUUUCCUGUUUUGCACUUGUAGUCUGAAUCAUCCUUAGAGUGGUAAUUCAGAAAUGCAAAUAUGAUCAUGUCAUUCUCUUGCUUAAAACCCUUCAAUGGCUGUCCAAUGCUUUUAUGACAAAACCCAAAGUGUCUCCACUCCUCCCCCAACCCUUACUGCUUCCUGCAUUGGACUGCUUUAGGGAAGAUGGGCUGGAGUAAUAGUUUAAUCUCUAGCUAUUUCAUGCUUGGCUUCACUUUACUGAGGCUGCCAAUUAGUGAUUUAGAGGUGAACUCUUCUAUGCUCUGCUGUGAACGGGGGCCUGUUUCAAAUAGUCCUUGAAGGGCUUCAGCCUUAUUGUCACUAAAAUCCUACACUGACUUGAACCUGUGACUUCUUCUAGUUGAAGGUCUGUAUAUAUUUCUGGGCAUCCCCUGAGUCAGGAAAGCAAAUUUUGGAAAUGCUUUGGUAUUUCUAAGUCCUAUUUGGUCUAAAUAAAUAUAUUUUUAACUUAAUGAUAUCUUAAAUGUAAUAUUUUGAUUUUAUUUGACUUUUAUAAUUGCUUUUCCAAGAGAGGUGAGCAUAUCUUCUCAACUCUACUUUUAUAAUGGUAUAUGAUGAGUGCUUUCAUUUUCUUGUCUUGUCAUCUGUCCUUUUCUGGCUUUAGGAAUAGAAGUAACAACAGCUAGAUGUGAUCAUAUCAGCAGGAAGCAUCCUUGCUGCUGGCUGAUUUAUAAAUUGCCACUCUCUUGCUUGCCAUUUCUAAUAGGUAUACAAAACAUGGAAUGUACAAGAAAAUUAAAGGGGCUAUGUACACACACACACACACACACACACACACUGCUUAAAAAGGUCAGGAAGGACCAGUAAAUAGAGCAAAGAUAUAUAAAAAACACACACAGGAAAAAAUAUAAACAAGGUAAUUCAAAAAGUUUAGAUGUAGAGAAAAUAGAAGAAACUAUUUCCUUUUGAAAGAAAAGUCCAUUUUUUAAAAUGCUGAUAAUUUGUCUUUGCCGCUGAUAAAUAAAACAGGCUUUGUACAAGGUUGACAAGUAGACAGUUACCAAGGCAAACUUCGCCUCUCUACCUGUUAUUCUUGUCUAUAGCCUGAAAGAAAUUAUGAUUGUCAAGAGAAA